Molecule: unclassified non-coding RNA, 218 nt
Filed under: Tomentella stuposa
Lineage: Eukaryota; Fungi; Basidiomycota; Agaricomycetes; Thelephorales; Thelephoraceae
Description: partial internal transcribed spacer 2
Source: RNAcentral
AUACCUCAACUCUCAUGGCUUGCCAUGAUGAGCUUGGACUUUGGGGGUCUUGUUGGUCUGUGAGCCAGCUCCUCUUAAAUGAAUUAGCUUGCCGGUGUUUGGUGGCGUCACAGGUGUGAUAACUAUCUACGCUUGUGGUUUCUCACCAGGUAACCUUCAGCAAUGGAGGUUAACCGGAGCUUAUAAAUGUCUCUCCUCAGCGAGGACACAUUUUGACC